This 422-nucleotide ribosomal RNA is filed under the name uncultured microorganism. RNAcentral describes it as "bacterial SSU rRNA". It matches the Rfam family "Bacterial small subunit ribosomal RNA", at positions 9 to 429 of the family's 1533-position model. The record is from RNAcentral.
GAGUUUGAUCGUGGCUCAGAUUGAACGCUGGCGGCAUGCCUUACACAUGCAAGUCGAACGGCAGCAUGAUCUAGCUUGCUAGAUUGAUGGCGAGUGGCGAACGGGUGAGUAAUACAUCGGAACGUGCCCUGUAGUGGGGGAUAACUAGUCGAAAGAUUAGCUAAUACCGCAUACGACCUGAGGGUGAAAGUGGGGGACCGCAAGGCCUCAUGCUAUAGGAGCGGCCGAUGUCUGAUUAGCUAGUUGGUGGGGUGAAGGCCCACCAAGGCGACGAUCAGUAGCUGGUCUGAGAGGACGAUCAGCCACACUGGGACUGAGACACGGCCCAGACUCCUACGGGAGGCAGCAGUGGGGAAUUUUGGACAAUGGGCGAAAGCCUGAUCCAGCAAUGCCGCGUGUGUGAAGAAGGCCUCGGUUGUAAG